CAGCAUCUCUUUCUUAUUUUGUUUUUAUGUAUUUUUAUACACCUCUUGAAUUUUAAAAGUGAAUAAAUUGCCUUUCAAGUAUUCCUUUGGUUGCAAUUGUUUGGAUCUUCUUGCUGACCUGGAUACUCCAUUGGCUUACACUUGAGGAGGGAGAAUUAAAGGAGAAUAACCCCCCCCCCAUUUAUAUCUAGGGGGAGGCACCCUGA
Pelobates cultripes (western spadefoot toad) is the source of this 206-nucleotide non-coding RNA. The record is from the annotation of a GenBank genome assembly. NCBI's taxonomy places the organism in Eukaryota, Metazoa, Chordata, Amphibia, Anura, Pelobatidae.